GAUCAUGGCUCAGGAUGAACGCUGGCGGCGUGCCUAAUACAUGCAAGUCGAGCGAACCGUAAGGGAGCUUGCUCCUUACGGUUAGCGGCGGACGGGUGAGUAACACGUGGGUAACCUGCCCUCAAAACUGGGAUAACAUCGAGAAAUCGGUGCUAAUACCGGAUAAUCAAUAAGACCGCAUGGUCUUAUUAUAAAAGGUGGCUUCGGCUACUAUUUGAGGAUGGGCCCGCGGCGCAUUAGCUAGUUGGUAAGGUAACAGCUUACCAAGGCGACGAUGCGUAGCCGACCUGAGAGGGUGAUCGGCCACAUUGGGACUGAGACACGGCCCAAACUCCUACGGGAGGCAGCAGUAGGGAAUCUUCCGCAAUGGACGCAAGUCUGACGGAGCAAACCGCCGCGUGAGUGAUGAAGGUUUUCGGAUCGUAAAACUCUGUUGUUAGGGAAGAACAAGUACCGUUCGAAUAGGUCGGUACCUUGACGGUACCUAACCAGAAAGCCACGGCUAACUACGUGCCAGCCGCUGC
This 524-nucleotide ribosomal RNA is filed under the name uncultured bacterium. RNAcentral describes it as "bacterial SSU rRNA". It matches the Rfam family "Bacterial small subunit ribosomal RNA", at positions 15 to 518 of the family's 1533-position model. The record is from RNAcentral.